ACACAUGUCAAUUUUAACAAC
Molecule: small nuclear RNA, 21 nt
Filed under: Arabidopsis thaliana (thale cress)
Lineage: Eukaryota; Viridiplantae; Streptophyta; Magnoliopsida; Brassicales; Brassicaceae
Description: snRNA_00174
Source: RNAcentral